CAGCAGUCGCGGUAAUACGUAGAAGACUAGUGUUAUUCAUCUUUAAUUGGUUUAAAGGGUACCUAGACGGUAAAUCAAGCCUUAACACGAGGGACUAAUAUACUAGAGUUACAUGUGAGGGAGUUCUAAAGUACUGCUGGUGUAGAGAUGAAAUUCUGUCAUACCUUUAGCGAUUAAAAGCACGGCACAGGUAUAGGCGAAGGCAUCUCCUUAUGUGAUAACUGACGUUGAGGGACGAAGGCUUUUGUAGCGAACAGGAUUAGUUACCCCAGUAGUCCAAGCAGAAAAUGAUGAAUGUCAUAGAUUAGAUAAAAAGAUUUAUUCUAUAAAUGAAAGUGUAAGCAUUCCACCUCAAGAGUAAUUUGGCAACAUUGGAACUGAAAUCAUUAGACCGUUUCUGAAACCAGUAGUGAAGUAUGUUGUUUAAUUUGAUGAUCCGCAAAGAACCUUACCACAACUUGAAUAUUUAUAUUUUAAUAUAUUUACAAGCGUUGCACGGCUGUCUUCAGUUAAUGUCGUGAGACUUUGGUUAGUUCCAUUAAAUUAACGUAAACCCUUACUUUAUUUUUAUAUAAAGUGGUUCCCCGCUAUAUUGGAUAUGAUAACAGGGACUAAGACAAGUCAUCAUGGCCUAAAUGUUGUGGGCUAUAGACGUGCCACAUAAACCUUACAAAAAAGGGGUGGUGAAAAUUGUGAAAUUGAGCUAAAUC
RNAcentral lists this ribosomal RNA (710 nucleotides) under Neoprotoparmelia isidiata. RNAcentral's name for it is "SSU rRNA". It matches the Rfam family "Bacterial small subunit ribosomal RNA", at positions 509 to 1274 of the family's 1533-position model. Lineage: Eukaryota; Fungi; Ascomycota; Lecanoromycetes; Lecanorales; Parmeliaceae. The record is from RNAcentral.